This 764-nucleotide ribosomal RNA is filed under the name Cotesia vestalis (diamondback moth parasitoid). RNAcentral describes it as "12S ribosomal RNA". Lineage: Eukaryota; Metazoa; Arthropoda; Insecta; Hymenoptera; Braconidae. The record is from RNAcentral.
UAGAUUUAAUUUUAAUCUUUUAUAAUAAUUUAAAAUUAUUAAUUAUAUAUAAAAUUUUAAAAUUUAAAAAAAAUUAUUUUAAUAUAUAAAAUUAUUUAUUAAUAAAAUUUUAAUUAAAAAUUAUUUUAAAUAUAAAUAAAAAUUGUGCCAGCAAUUGCGGUUAAUCAAUUUAUAUAAAUUAUUAAUAAUUAAUUAUAAUUAAUUUUUAAAAUAAAAAAUUUAUAAAUUUUAACUAUUGAUUAAAUAAAAAAUUAAUUUAAAUAAAUUUUUUUAAAAUUAAAUGAUUUAAAAAAUUUUUUAAAAAACUAGGAUUAGAUACCCUAUUAUUAAAACUAAAAAAAAAAUAAAUUUAAAUAUUAAAUAUUAAUUUAUUAAAUUUAAAAAAAUUGACGGUAUUUUUUUUUAGAUGAACUUGAAAUUUAAUUUGAUAAUACACAUUAUUAAUAACUAAUUUAAUAUUUUUAUAUAUUACUGUUUAAAUUUAAUUUUUUAAUUAAAAUUUUAAUUUUAAAUAAUUUAAAAUAAUUCAAGUCAAAAUAUAAAUUUAAAUUAGAAUAAUUUGAGUUACUUUAUAAUAUAAUUAUAUAUGUAUAUAAUACUUAAAAAAUUAUAUAUUAGAAUUUAAUAAUAAAUAUUUUUAUUUAAAAAUAUUAAAUUAAAAAUUAAAUAUGUACAUAUUGCCCGUCAUUUUUAUAUAAUUUUUUUAAAUAUUAUAUAAAACAAGUCGUAACAAAGUAAUUUAACUGGAAAGUUAAAUUAGAAUU